UAGAAAGGAAGAAAAGUCACUUUGGGGAAAGGAACUCAUCUUAGAGGAGGCAGGGGGUUGAGUAAGGACAUGCUUUCCCAGUGAGAUAAACGUGAGUUUUUCAGCUUGGCUGUCAAGUCAUGGCCUUAAAAAAAGGAGCGCAAGUGAAAGGGCUCCCUCCCAUCGUCCCCUGAGCAGCUGGCCGGAGUGGGGCACGAGACAGUGGGUGGAAAUUCCAGGUGUACCCGUCAUGUGGAUGGCGACCUUGCUGGCAGCACCGCGCCUGAACAGUCCUCCCUGAUGGAAAAGGAGCUGGGAACUACAGACCAUACGGGUUUAGGAAUAGAAAUGAACUUCAAUGCCUACAACAGUAAAAGUCUUGAUGUCCAGUCAUAAUAUCCAGUGAGCAUCGGACAAAGCGCCUUCACCAGCAUCCUGAGUUUAUUCCCACAGCAUUCAUGAAAGGCAGGUCAAGCUCCAUGCUCAGAAGCCAAAGAAAACAAGUACAGAGAGA
Molecule: long non-coding RNA, 493 nt
Organism: Camelus dromedarius (Arabian camel)
Lineage: Eukaryota; Metazoa; Chordata; Mammalia; Artiodactyla; Camelidae
Exons: 4
Source: RefSeq, a predicted model, not a curated record